Molecule: ribosomal RNA, 301 nt
Filed under: uncultured bacterium
Lineage: Bacteria
Description: partial 16S ribosomal RNA
Rfam family: Bacterial small subunit ribosomal RNA
Source: RNAcentral
CAGCCGCCGCGGUAAUACGUAGGGGGCAAGCGUUGUCCGGAAUCAUUGGGCGUAAAGCGCGUGUAGGCGGCUCGAUAAGUCUGCUGUGAAAGUCCAGGGCUCAACCCUGGAAUGCCGGUGGAAACUGUCGAGCUAGAGUACGGAAGAGGCGAGUGGAAUUCCUGGUGUAGCGGUGAAAUGCGCAGAUAUCAGGAGGAACACCAAUGGCGAAGGCAGCUCGCUGGGACGUUACUGACGCUGAGACGCGAAAGCGUGGGGAGCAAACAGGAUUAGAUACCCCAGUAGUCCCUGUCUCUUAUAC